GUCAGGAUGGCCGAGUGGUCUAAGGCGCCAGACUCAAGGUAGCUUCGUGCCUUGCCCUGAUAUCAGGGUUUGGGAUUUCUGGUCCACGAAUGUGGGCGUGGGUUCGAAUCCCACUUCUGACA
Molecule: non-coding RNA, 122 nt
Organism: Ixodes scapularis (black-legged tick)
Lineage: Eukaryota; Metazoa; Arthropoda; Arachnida; Ixodida; Ixodidae
Source: Rfam